RNAcentral lists this ribosomal RNA (524 nucleotides) under uncultured bacterium. RNAcentral describes it as "partial 16S ribosomal RNA". It matches the Rfam family "Bacterial small subunit ribosomal RNA", at positions 355 to 874 of the family's 1533-position model. The record is from RNAcentral.
UGGGGAAUUUUGGACAAUGGGCGAAAGCCUGAUCCAGCAAUGCCGCGUGCAGGAUGAAGGCUUUCGGGUUGUAAACUGCUUUUGUACGGAACGAAAAGCUUCUCCUAAUACGAGAGGCCCAUGACGGUACCGUAAGAAUAAGCACCGGCUAACUACGUGCCAGCAGCCGCGGUAAUACGUAGGGUGCGAGCGUUAAUCGGAAUUACUGGGCGUAAAGCGUGCGCAGGCGGUUAUGUAAGACAGAUGUGAAAUCCCCGGGCUCAACCUGGGAACUGCAUUUGUGACUGCAUGGCUAGAGUACGGUAGAGGGGGAUGGAAUUCCGCGUGUAGCAGUGAAAUGCGUAGAUAUGCGGAGGAACACCGAUGGCGAAGGCAAUCCCUGGACCUGUACUGACGCUCAUGCACGAAAGCGUGGGGAGCAAACAGGAUUAGAUACCCUGGUAGUCCACGCCCUAAACGAUGUCAACUGGUUGUUGGGAAUUAGUUUUCUCAGUAACGAAGCUAACGCGUGAAGUUGACCGCCU